CUUCACUCUGGGACAAGCCCUGGAAACGGGGUCUAAUACCGGAUAACACUCCUGCCUGCAUGGGUGGGGGUUAAAAGCUCCGGCGGUGAAGGAUGAGCCCGCGGCCUAUCAGCUUGUUGGUGAGGUAGUGGCUCACCAAGGCGACGACGGGUAGCCGGCCUGAGAGGGCGACCGGCCACACUGGGACUGAGACACGGCCCAGACUCCUACGGGAGGCAGCAGUGGGGAAUAUUGCACAAUGGGCGAAAGCCUGAUGCAGCGACGCCGCGUGAGGGAUGACGGCCUUCGGGUUGUAAACCUCUUUCAGCAGGGAAGAAGCGAAAGUGACGGUACCUGCAGAAGAAGCGCCGGCUAACUACGUGCCAGCAGCCGCGGUAAUACGUAGGGCGCAAGCGUUGUCCGGAAUUAUUGGGCGUAAAGAGCUCGUAGGCGGCUUGUCACGUCGGUUGU
This 450-nucleotide ribosomal RNA is filed under the name Streptomyces sp. SCAU5014. RNAcentral describes it as "bacterial SSU rRNA". It matches the Rfam family "Bacterial small subunit ribosomal RNA", at positions 131 to 595 of the family's 1533-position model. The record is from RNAcentral. Lineage: Bacteria; Bacillati; Actinomycetota; Actinomycetes; Kitasatosporales; Streptomycetaceae.